AGUGAACGCUGGCGGUAGGCCUAACACAUGCAAGUCGAACGGCAGCACAGUAAGAGCUUGCUCUUACGGGUGGCGAGUGGCGGACGGGUGAGGAAUACAUCGGAAUCUACUUUUUCGUGGGGGAUAACGUAGGGAAACUUACGCUAAUACCGCAUACGACCUACGGGUGAAAGCAGGGGAUCUUCGGGCCUUGCGCGAUUGAAUGAGCCGAUGUCGGAUUAGCUAGUUGGCGGGGUAAAGGCCCACCAAGGCGACGAUCCGUAGCUGGUCUGAGAGGAUGAUCAGCCACACUGGAACUGAGAAACGGUCCAGACUCCUACGGGAGGCAGCAGUGGGGAAUAUUGGACAAUGGGCGAAAGCCUGAUCCAGCCAUCCCGCGUGAGUGAAGAAGGCCUUCGGGUUGUAAAGCCCUUUUGUUGGGAAAGAAAAUCAGCAGGUUAAUACCCCGCUGUUCUGACGGUACCCAAAGAAUAAGCACCGGCUAACUUCGUG
RNAcentral lists this ribosomal RNA (492 nucleotides) under uncultured bacterium. RNAcentral describes it as "partial 16S ribosomal RNA". It matches the Rfam family "Bacterial small subunit ribosomal RNA", at positions 29 to 507 of the family's 1533-position model. The record is from RNAcentral.